Molecule: ribosomal RNA, 311 nt
Filed under: uncultured Sediminicola sp.
Lineage: Bacteria; Pseudomonadati; Bacteroidota; Flavobacteriia; Flavobacteriales; Flavobacteriaceae
Description: bacterial SSU rRNA
Rfam family: Bacterial small subunit ribosomal RNA
Source: RNAcentral
GAUGAACGCUAGCGGCAGGCCUAACACAUGCAAGUCGAACGGUAACAGGAAUUAGCUUGCUAAUUUGCUGACGAGUGGCGCACGGGUGCGUAACGCGUAUACAAUCUACCUUUUGCUGAGGGAUAGCCCAGAGAAAUUUGGAUUAAUACCUCAUGGUAUUAUUGAUAGGCAUCUAUUAAUAAUUAAAGGUUACGGCAAAAGAUGAGUAUGCGUCCCAUUAGCUAGUUGGUGAGGUAACGGCUUACCAAGGCGACGAUCAGUAGCCGACCUGAGAGGGUGAUCGGCCACACUGGAACUGAGACACGGUCCAG